Long non-coding RNA from Alosa alosa (allis shad), 1024 nucleotides. RefSeq lists it as uncharacterized. The record is from RefSeq and is a predicted model, not a curated record. NCBI's taxonomy places the organism in Eukaryota, Metazoa, Chordata, Actinopteri, Clupeiformes, Clupeidae. The transcript has 6 exons.
CUGUCUUUCAAUUACGAAACUAUUCUGCCAUUACAAAUUUCUGCUGCUUGCACAAGUAUUUUCUACAAGUAUACAAAUCAUUUUGAGACUGUUCUGGCGCUUCCUGUUGAAUAGCCAAUGGCGAUCCUCAGGUUUGGCUAGCCAACCAUGAAUCUCAGUUCACUAACCAAUCACAGAGCAGGAGCAGCGCCGUCGUUGUCUGUGGGUGCAACCAAACCUGGAGUCUACGUUUGGAGCACGCUAGUUUCCUGUAUUCCUUGAGUUUCUUAUGGAUCCCCAGUUGCUGCCUCCUUCUGAAGCACAGGUUAUUAGAGAGGCUGAAAACCAGACUGGAACAGGCUCUUCAAAGGCAGCCUCUGGACCUGGACUAUUUAGAGUUCCUCUGUACCAGUGAGUUGAGCCUAGUUCACUGAGUACUCACAUGCCAUUUCCAGAAGAGGUCAUAGGCAGAUGGGAAAAGCAGGCCUUAAAAAAGAGGGCUACAGGAUACUGGGGUGCUCCCAAUGAUAACAGAACGGCCAGAACUGGCUAGAGUUCUGUUCCCACAAGGUGUCUCAUCUCUGAUGGAUCCUAAGAUGAUUUUGAAAAGAGUGGUUUGACCAGAUGAGGUGGAGGUUGACGAAGAUGAAAUGGAAGACUGCCGUGUCACAGCCUACCUCAGACAAUACGUUGCCGUGCCUACCUCAGACAAUACGUUGCCGUGCCUACCUCAGACAAUACGUUGCCGUGCCUACCUCAGACAAUACGUUUUUCUUUAGAGACAUUGAAAGACCUGGUGGUCUUCUGGACGGGAUGGUCUGUUGGCAGGGGCAAUGCCGACUGUACUUUGAAACUCCCCCUAGGGACAAGAAUGUAUGACACCUUCAAAGAAGCUAUGAAUGCAGCGCUGAAAUAAAGCAAUUAUGGUUUUGGCUUGAUCUAGUGUUGUUUUCUGCAAGUUCAAUGCAGUAUAGUCAACAAUUUCAGUGUUUCAGACGGUGACCAGAGUUCCAGUUGUUCAAUGAAUAAACUAUGCAAUGAGAAA